CUUUAGUGAGUCUGUAGGAUGCAAACUGUCUUCACAAACUCUGCAGGAAGUUUCUGGUGGAGAGUUUCUGGGCACUUUGGGGGUGGUUUAAGUGUGUGUAGAGGGGUGUGGAUAGGAAGGUGGGGCAACAUAAAGGAAAUGAAGUGAUUCAUGCUCAACUGCGAUUGCCUGAGCAUUAAAUUCAAUCAGCGGGAAACCCAAUCUCCCCACUGCAAAGGGAAACGUCCAACUUGGAGUGUUGCUCUCCAAGCAACACAGCCUUCACCCUCUCCUGAUGGGACCUACCCAGGCGGUUCACCAAGGACCCCUCCAGAGCUCUCAAGUGCAUGGGUAGUUCUCAGACUUCAUGUUUUCUAUGGCUGUUGAGCUGUUUGCACCUCCUUUGGGAAGAGCAGAGGUUGGAAGGUGGGAAACUGUGGCCUAUCACAGAAGUACCCUCUUCUUAUUAGUCCUGGGUAAGGAGGUGGCACUGACCUGGUCCUGAAGGAUGAAUAGGAGUUUGUCAGGGAGCUCCUGGUUCCUCUGAUUCCUCCUCCUAAGAACGCAUAGACCAGACUGGUUUCUAGGUUUCCUAGAAGUCCAGAACAAGGCCACCCCUGAAACAGCUGUGUCUCAGAGAAUAAAAAAUCAUUCAAACUAAAUAGAAGACAAGAACCAUUCAUUACCCAGAACCGUUC
Molecule: long non-coding RNA, 677 nt
Filed under: Homo sapiens (human)
Lineage: Eukaryota; Metazoa; Chordata; Mammalia; Primates; Hominidae
Description: HSALNT0106697
Source: RNAcentral